UACGAAGGAUCCUAGCGUUGUCCGGAUUUACUGGGUUUAAAGCGUGCGCAGGCGGCCAUCCAAGUCAGUGGGGAAAGCCCGGAGCUCAACUCCGGAAUUGCCAUUGAAACUGUUUGGCUCGAGUACGAGAGAGGUGAGUGGAAUUCCCAGUGUAGAGGUGAAAUUCGUAGAUAUUGGGAAGAACACCGGUGGCGAAGGCGGCUCACUGGCUCGUAACUGACGCUCAUGCACGACAGCGUGGGGAUCAAACAGG
This 253-nucleotide ribosomal RNA is filed under the name uncultured bacterium. RNAcentral's name for it is "partial 16S ribosomal RNA". It matches the Rfam family "Bacterial small subunit ribosomal RNA", at positions 524 to 776 of the family's 1533-position model. The record is from RNAcentral.